Molecule: long non-coding RNA, 938 nt
Organism: Triticum aestivum (bread wheat)
Lineage: Eukaryota; Viridiplantae; Streptophyta; Magnoliopsida; Poales; Poaceae
Exons: 7
Source: RefSeq, a predicted model, not a curated record
AAUUUGACCAGCCAGUGCAAAUGUGUCCCUUGAUCAACUAAACUGGGUGAAUGUAAAAUCAUGGGGAGCCUUGAAGCCUUCUAAUGAACACAUAAAAGAUAAUAAAUGUUUAUUUGCAAGCAUGGAAUUGAAGGAAUCGGCGAGAGAGGCAGAUAAAGGAGAACUUGAAACUUAUAUAAUAUAUGCAAGGCCUGGGAGAUGAUCAGAUGGAUAUACUGGAUGCAACAUGAACGCAAGAGAGAUGGCGAACGUGAAGGCAUGAAUAAGAAGGCUUAGGCUGGAGUUUGCCAUGUGAUAUUUGGAGUGUUGGUUGCAUCCUCGUUGAGCUAUGCUCGGGGGAGACAUUGUUUCAGACACAUGAGAACCUGGAACACCUAGCAAUGAUGGAGAGGGUUUUGGGACCCAUACCAGAGAGCACAUGAUACGGAAGGCUAGGUCCAGGAUUACUUUUAGAACCAAACCCUUAUUAUUGGGCUUGUUUCUCAAGAGAAUGGCAGUAUCUCCACUUGUAUCCUGGAAGUCCAGGGUUUGAGUCAGUAUCCUUAAAAAAUCAAACAAGGGAAAUGUUGGGUAAGAACCUAAUAAUUCCCUUUCCCAGGACCCCACAACAAGUGGGAGUUUUUGAUUCUGAAAUAACCUUCGGUUAUAUUUUUGAGAGUGAAAUAUAUAUCAUUCUCCUUUGCACUAAAGCUUUUGCAUCAAAUGUUUUGAAGAACUCUGGCACGUCCUACCUGCAAAGAAAUAUUUCUUUUAUUUUUACACGCAGUCACAUUUUUUUUGGCUGUGCUUCCUUAAGUUCUACGGUUUAUAGUUGUUCACUGGUUUGCUACUCAGAAGUAGUUUUGGCUUGCAUCUAUUCUGUUAUUGAUUUGUAUAUUGUGAGUUUCAUACUAUUGUCUUUGUGUCUGUAUGUAAAUUUCAGAUAUGUCUUGUGUGCA